Molecule: long non-coding RNA, 489 nt
Organism: Drosophila mojavensis
Lineage: Eukaryota; Metazoa; Arthropoda; Insecta; Diptera; Drosophilidae
Exons: 2
Source: RefSeq, a predicted model, not a curated record
AUACUUACCAAUUCACCAAUUCGAACAUUCCAUGAACCUAGAAUCACCAAAUUUUAUAUUAAAUAUUAAAAUUCAAUAUUCAGGUUUGACUGAAACAGCAAAUAUUAACGAGGUAAACCCUGCAUAAAAUUCGACUCAAAACUCUUUGGUAUAUUCGCAUGCUGUAUGUAUAUUGGUGUACUUCAUGCGAUACUCUAAGGCAAUCUUACAAAAAAUUAAUGGCUAUGACGAACAAAAAAAUGAGCUCAAUGAAAAUGAAAAGUCGCUGCGUAACUCCCGAGCCCCGCGAAAGGCGAAACAAAACGAAUAAGCAGUGAAAGCGAGUGGAUGGGGAUGGAAGGAAGAAAGUUUGAAAUAUAUAUGUAUAGGAAUAAAGCACGAGUAAUCAAACAAUGAUGAUGCGCAAGAAUUCACAUUUUCAAAAUGGAUGAACGGGCAAAUGAAUGAAUUAUAUGUAAAUAUGCGUCAAAUACACCCCAAGUUACGGAA